GGGGUUGUGGCUCAGUGGUAGAGUACUCACCUAGCACGUGUGAGGCACUGAGUUUGAUCCUUAGCACCACA
RNAcentral lists this transfer RNA (71 nucleotides) under Marmota monax (woodchuck). RNAcentral's name for it is "tRNA.Ala". It matches the Rfam family "tRNA". Rfam says of the family: Transfer RNA (tRNA) molecules are approximately 80 nucleotides in length. Lineage: Eukaryota; Metazoa; Chordata; Mammalia; Rodentia; Sciuridae. The record is from RNAcentral.